GUGGGGAAUUUUGGACAAUGGGCGCAAGCCUGAUCCAGCAAUGCCGCGUGCAGGAAGAAGGCCUUCGGGUUGUAAACUGCUUUUGUACGGAACGAAACGGUCCGGGUUAAUACCCUGGGCUAAUGACGGUACCGUAAGAAUAAGCACCGGCUAACUACGUGCCAGCAGCCGCGGUAAUACGUAGGGUGCAAGCGUUAAUCGGAAUUACUGGGCGUAAAGCGUGCGCAGGCGGUUUUGUAAGACAGGCGUGAAAUCCCCGGGCUCAACCUGGGAAUUGCGCUUGGGACUGCAAGGCUGGAGUGCGGCAGAGGGGGAUGGAAUUCCGCGUGUAGCAGUGAAAUGCGUAGAUAUGCGGAGGAACACCGAUGGCGAAGGCAAUCCCCUGGGCCUGCACUGACGCUCAUGCACGAAAGCGUGGGGAGCAAACAGGAUUAGAUACCCGUGUAGUCC
This 450-nucleotide ribosomal RNA is filed under the name uncultured bacterium. Its description in RNAcentral is "bacterial SSU rRNA". It matches the Rfam family "Bacterial small subunit ribosomal RNA", at positions 354 to 796 of the family's 1533-position model. The record is from RNAcentral.